AAGAAAGGAUAAGAAUCAAUAAGUACUGCUAAUCCUUAUGGACCGGGGUUAAAAUCCACGGCUUUCUUA
RNAcentral lists this transfer RNA (69 nucleotides) under Acheilognathus chankaensis (Khanka spiny bitterling). RNAcentral's name for it is "Acanthorhodeus chankaensis (Khanka spiny bitterling) tRNA-Ser". Lineage: Eukaryota; Metazoa; Chordata; Actinopteri; Cypriniformes; Acheilognathidae. RNAcentral also lists the same sequence under 1 other name. The record is from RNAcentral.